This 235-nucleotide ribosomal RNA is filed under the name Mesothuria bifurcata. RNAcentral's name for it is "partial 16S ribosomal RNA". It matches the Rfam family "Bacterial large subunit ribosomal RNA", at positions 2268 to 2589 of the family's 2925-position model. Lineage: Eukaryota; Metazoa; Echinodermata; Holothuroidea; Aspidochirotida; Synallactidae. The record is from RNAcentral.
CUUUGGUUGGGGCAACCAUGGAGCUAAUUUAGCCUCCAGUUAUUAAAGCUGAACUUAGGCUCUCUUUAAAAAUUUCAUGAACCAGUUAAUUCUGGAAAUCAGAACAAGUUACCGCAGGGAUAACAGCGUUAUCUUCUCUAAGAGUCCUAAUUGACGAGAAGGAUUGCGACCUCGAUGUUGGAUUGGGGCAUCCUUAUGGUGCAGCAGCUAUAAAGGGUUGGACUGUUCGUCCAUU